Molecule: ribosomal RNA, 376 nt
Filed under: uncultured organism
Description: partial 16S ribosomal RNA
Rfam family: Bacterial small subunit ribosomal RNA
Source: RNAcentral
GUAGGUGGCAAGCGUUGUCCGGAAUUAUUGGGCGUAAAGCGCGCGCAGGCGGUCCUUUAAGUCUGAUGUGAAAGCCCACGGCUCAACCGUGGAGGGUCAUUGGAAACUGGGGGACUUGAGUACAGAAGAGGAAAGCGGAAUUCCAAGUGUAGCGGUGAAAUGCGUAGAGAUUUGGAGGAACACCAGUGGCGAAGGCGGCUUUCUGGUCUGUAACUGACGCUGAGGCGCGAAAGCGUGGGGAGCAAACAGGAUUAGAUACCCUGGUAGUCCACGCCGUAAACGAUGAGUGCUAAGUGUUAGGGGGUUUCCCGCCCCCCUUAGUGCUGCAGCUAACGCAUUAAGCACUCCGCCGUGGGGGGUUACGGCCGCAAGGCUG